Molecule: non-coding RNA, 126 nt
Organism: Nitzschia inconspicua
Lineage: Eukaryota; Bacillariophyta; Bacillariophyceae; Bacillariales; Bacillariaceae
Source: the annotation of a GenBank genome assembly
AUUCCGAUACAUACCAAGAUUGAAGAUGAAAGCACCGCUUCCCGUCCGCUCAGCGAAGUUAAUAAGCAUGUUCGGGCCCAGCCAGUACCACGGUGGGGGACUACGUUGGAACCACGGGUUAUAAUU